RNAcentral lists this ribosomal RNA (253 nucleotides) under uncultured bacterium. RNAcentral's name for it is "partial 16S ribosomal RNA". It matches the Rfam family "Bacterial small subunit ribosomal RNA", at positions 524 to 776 of the family's 1533-position model. The record is from RNAcentral.
UACGUAGGGGGCGAGCGUUGUCCGGAAUCACUGGGCGUAAAGGGCGCGUAGGCGGCCUGAUAAGUAGGGGGUGAAAUCCUGCGGCUUAACCGCAGGGCUGCCUUCUAAACUGUCAGGCUGGAGCACAGUAGAGGCAGGUGGAAUUCCCGGUGUAGCGGUGGAAUGCGUAGAGAUCGGGAAGAACAUCAGUGGCGAAGGCGGCCUGCUGGGCUGUUGCUGACGCUGAGGCGCGACAGCGUGGGGAGCAAACAGG